CCGUGAAUGAAUAAAAUCCUUUAUUAUUUAACGCCAUCUAUGGGAAUUUAUGGCAACUAAACUUCACCCAAUAGAAAGAUUGUCACAACUUCUCGCUCGAGUAAAGGUAGUGGAUGAAGCACGCUUUCCAAAGUAAAUCAUUCCAUCCAAGAAAACGAGUUUGUGUGUGACGGGAUGAGGUAUGUUUCGGGUAAACGUCUUCAUGUAAAUUGAUCAGCUGUGAGACUGGAAUAAAAUCGAAAGUGUCAACAAAUAGUGAAAUUCAAAAUUGAGUGUGUAAUUUUAUCAUGUGCAAAUUUCCGCUUUGAAUACAAUGGAUACAGUGAUUUAAGAAUGAAAUUUAUUCAAAUUUAACAACAAAAACAUGAAAGGAAUAUAUUUAUCGUUUUAGAAACACGCUCAGAUGAAGGUAAUGGAAGUAGAGUUAGUAAGGCAGAGAACAAUAGUAAAGACUAAGGAAAUACAAAAAGACAAACGCAGUAACACCAUCUGGCAGAGAGAAAAAACUAAAGUCUCCACUCAGUAUGCUAGAGAUAAACUCAAAGUGCCAAUCCUAAAACCUCAGAAACAAAAGCAAAUAACAGUUACAAAAAAUGAAAAAGUGCUAACACAUAGAACACAAAUUCAGAAGAACAAUAAACUGAAGGAGAAGACAAAAUACUCGAAGGAAAAAUCAUUGGUAUUUCAAUCUUUCACACUUUACAUUAU
Long non-coding RNA from Parasteatoda tepidariorum (common house spider), 708 nucleotides. The record is from RefSeq and is a predicted model, not a curated record. Lineage: Eukaryota; Metazoa; Arthropoda; Arachnida; Araneae; Theridiidae.